This 489-nucleotide ribosomal RNA is filed under the name uncultured bacterium. RNAcentral describes it as "partial 16S ribosomal RNA". It matches the Rfam family "Bacterial small subunit ribosomal RNA", at positions 29 to 506 of the family's 1533-position model. The record is from RNAcentral.
AUUGAACGCUGGCGGCAGGCCUAACACAUGCAAGUCGAAUGGUAACAGGAAACAGCUUGCUGUUUCGCUGACGAGUGGCGGACGGGUGAGUAAUGUCUGGGAAACUGCCUGAUGGAGGGGGAUAACUACUGGAAACGGUAGCUAAUACCGCAUAACGUCGCAAGACCAAAGAGGGGGACCUUCGGGCCUCUUGCCAUCAGAUGUGCCCAGAUGGGAUUAGCUAGUAGGUGGGGUAACGGCUCACCUAGGCGACGAUCCCUAGCUGGUCUGAGAGGAUGACCCGCCCCUCAGAAACUGAGCCCCGGCCCAGGCUCUGAGGGGAGGCACAGAGGGGGAAUUUGGGCAAAAGGGGGGAAGCCUGAUGCAGCCAGGCCGGGGUUAUGAAGAAGGCCUGCGGGUUGUAAAAUUUUUUCCGGGGGGGGAAAGGGAGUAAAGUUAAAACCUGUGCCAAUGAACGUUACCCGCAAAAAAAGCCCCGGCAAACUCCGU